CUCCGAUGAGAGCCGCUGCGGUGGGUACGAAUAUCGCAGCCCGAAGAAAAACGUUCUGGAAACAAAAGACUGCAGACUCUUGGUGGCACGGAGCAGCGACGAGACGGACAUGGACUCGGAUGGUGACGAGCUGCCGGCCUUCGCCAAGCGGACGUGCCUGUCUCCAGUCUCAAAGAGCGCCCCAGCGGAGGAGGACAGCAGGAAGCCAGGGGUCCGGGGUGCACCUGGGACGGCA
Long non-coding RNA from Gopherus flavomarginatus (Mexican gopher tortoise), 235 nucleotides. RefSeq lists it as uncharacterized. Lineage: Eukaryota; Metazoa; Chordata; Testudines; Testudinidae. The record is from RefSeq and is a predicted model, not a curated record. The transcript is spliced from 3 exons.